GCGAUGCUGUCACGGCGACCGUGUUACAAUCGCUUCUUGGAGGAGGUGGUUCGUUUUCUUCCGGAGGCCAGGGCAAGGGUGUCCAUUCUAGAUUGUAUACUCGCGUUCUGGCUGUUCAUCCCAAGGUGGAAAAUUUUACUGCUUUUACUUCCGUGUACAAUGACUCCGGCUUGUUUGGAAUUCACGCAUCGUCUGAGCACAAGUUUGUAGGCGAGCUUGUAGAUCUCAUAGGAGAUGAGC
This is a long non-coding RNA of Selaginella moellendorffii, 240 nucleotides long. RefSeq lists it as uncharacterized. Lineage: Eukaryota; Viridiplantae; Streptophyta; Lycopodiopsida; Selaginellales; Selaginellaceae. The record is from RefSeq and is a predicted model, not a curated record. The transcript is spliced from 4 exons.